This is a non-coding RNA of Eptesicus fuscus (big brown bat), 78 nucleotides long. The record is from RefSeq and is marked provisional. Lineage: Eukaryota; Metazoa; Chordata; Mammalia; Chiroptera; Vespertilionidae.
CACUAGCCCGUGCGGCCGUGCGCACGAUCAGAGGGCGAACUGGUGCCCUCGUUGUAGCCAUAAGCACGCGGGAUGGUG